CCUGGAACAAACCAGGGAUGCUCCUGGGACUGGAUUUUGCGAAUGCCUGAUUAAGGAGGCUGGAAUGUAAGACUGGCUAACAAGAAUCCAUCGGCUGGAGGGCACUUUCUUGAGACACAAGAUUUAAUAUCCUAGCGAGGAUACCAGGGGAUGGGGCAGACUCUGCUAGGGUGGCUCUUAGAAGUCUGGAAAAAGUAGUGGCUAACACUCAGUGCAGUGGAAAUACCUGAGUUCUCCUGGCAGAUGGUAGAGAAGAAGUUAAAAAAGCUGAGGAAAGUGGACACGCUGGAACGGAUUUGUUAUCUAAGGCCGGUAAUGACAGGCAAGGACAGAGGGGCAGGCAAGGGGGCUUGACCCACAGAAAGCUGUGGAGAUGGUGAAUGGAGCAGGGUAUCCCCAGGAGCAAACCAGAGGGGCAGCCAAGAAGCCUCUGCUUAAUAUCUACAGCCAGAAAAGCAGACAGGAGUGGAGGAGCAGAAGGCAGGGGCAAUAGGAAGUCACCGUCCCUUGCUCAGUUCCCAGACCUGAACCAAUUUUCAGAUAUGAAACCCGCUGACCGAAGAGGUGGCCAGAUCUCUAGGAAUAGGACCCUGCCAAACCUCAAUCUGACCUCUGCAGAAAUUGGACGGAUCCUGGAGGAAGACCGUAGACCGCCACGGCUUAACCAAGGGGGAGCCCUGCUGGCAGCUGCUGUGCCUGAUGUGGAGUCCUUGCCGGAGCAGGUUCACGAGGCCUUAGAGAUCAGGACCGUGAUCCCACAGAACAUCACCCUGAUCCACUGCAUCGCUGCGCCAUGCUGGUUAGACAGGAUGAGCAAGAGGUGUCCCUAUGCUGGAAGCCGCGGCUAAGUCACACGCACUCCCGAG
This 866-nucleotide long non-coding RNA is filed under the name Equus asinus (donkey). RNAcentral's name for it is "lncRNA (ENSEASG00005036311.1)". The record is from RNAcentral. Lineage: Eukaryota; Metazoa; Chordata; Mammalia; Perissodactyla; Equidae.